RNAcentral lists this transfer RNA (73 nucleotides) under Nematocida parisii ERTm1. RNAcentral describes it as "tRNA-Tyr (GTA) (tRNA-Tyr-GTA-1-1)". It matches the Rfam family "tRNA". From Rfam's summary of the family: Transfer RNA (tRNA) molecules are approximately 80 nucleotides in length. Their secondary structure includes four short double-helical elements and three loops (D, anti-codon, and T loops). The record is from RNAcentral. RNAcentral also lists the same sequence under 1 other name. Lineage: Eukaryota; Fungi; Microsporidia.
CUCCUGAUAGCUCAGUUGGAAGAGCAUACGACUGUAGAUCGUAGGGUCGGUGGUUCGAAUCCAUCUCAGGAGA